Molecule: long non-coding RNA, 1094 nt
Filed under: Equus caballus (horse)
Lineage: Eukaryota; Metazoa; Chordata; Mammalia; Perissodactyla; Equidae
Description: lncRNA (ENSECAG00000046208.1)
Source: RNAcentral
AUAAGCUCCACCAGGGCAAGGAUCUCUUGUUUUGUUCGCUGCUUUAUCCCAAACGCCUACAACGGAUGGCAGAGUAGGCGCUUAAUAAUAUUUGUUGAAGGACUGGGAACGGGGGAGGGUUGAAGAGGAAUCUUAAAUGGAGCUGACAGUCUGCUGCGUCGCAGAAGCUCGUUUGCUUCCCCUCCCCCAUCCUUGGGAAGCUAGGUGUGGGUCCUGGAGGAUAAAGUCCACCUACCAGUUCCUUAGCUAGGCUGCAAAGUCUCAGCAUUCCAAGGGAACCUUUAUAUACAGAUUAGAGUCAUCAAACCGGCCCUUGCCCUGGGGAGGAACAGCAAAAAAGGUGUGGGGCUGGCUCCGAAGAGGAGGGUCCCUCCAGGACCACAUUGUCUCCAGACCACUGGAGAGGUUUUUUAAAGAGUUGGUUUUUUGUUUUUUGUUUUUGAAAUGUGAGAUUGAAUUGACCCAAAUAUUGGAAAAGUGGAAACAACUAAACUCUCCUGGGUAACAGCUUAAUAAUUAGGAUACUUAGUGUAUUUGUAGUAAAUACAGAGUUAGGGUAGUAAAAGAGACACCCCACCCCAGCACUGUCAACACAGAUUACAAGGAAAAACCCAGAGGCCUCUGAGUCACCAUCUUUGUCGUCUGUUCCUGAAGGAAGCACUCUGACUCAGAGGGACACCAUCAUCAGGCGCUGGUGGCAAAGGUGACAGAUGCUGAGGCCUUUUUCCAGAGUUUGUUACCUAAUCAAAGUGGGUUCAACUCCAGGCGAGUUAAAUCAGACUCUCCACCAGAAGUAGUUUCUUACAAAGUAAAGUAUAUUUGUGGCAAAUAGGAGACCAUGGGAAUCAUUUCCACAGUCGUGGUGUCCCUGAACAAAGGGGAGCGGGGACUUUUUAUUUCAGAUGGGGAGUGAAUAUUCAAAAGGGAGCGGUGGGUAUUCACUUGCACAGGCUCAGUUGGAAAACCUGCUUCCACAUACACUGCAGGUUAUGGGAGCAAAGCCUAAGCUCCUCCUGGAGAGAUCUUAGCAUUAAAAAUAGGGCAAAGGUCAUAGACCUAGCUUUUGUGGUGAGGUUUGGCCUGGUUCAGGGUGG